Molecule: ribosomal RNA, 253 nt
Filed under: uncultured bacterium
Lineage: Bacteria
Description: partial 16S ribosomal RNA
Rfam family: Bacterial small subunit ribosomal RNA
Source: RNAcentral
UACAGAGGUCUCAAGCGUUGUUCGGAUUCAUUGGGCGUAAAGGGUGUGUAGGUGGCGCCGUAAGUCGGGUGUGAAAUCUCGGGGCUUAACUCCGAAACUGCAUUCGAUACUGCGGUGCUUGAGGACUGGAGAGGAGACUGGAAUUCAUGGUGUAGCAGUGAAAUGCGUAGAGAUCAUGAGGAAGACCAGUGGCGAAGGCGGGUCUCUGGACAGUUCCUGACACUGAUGCACGAAGGCCAGGGGAGCAAACGGG